CGUCCGGAAUCGGGCGCUAAUACCGCAUAGGUCCUGAGGGAGAAUGUGGGGGAUCUUCGGACCUCGCGCUAUCAGAUGAGCCUAGGUCGGAUUACCUAGUUGGUGGGGUAAAGGCCUACCAAGGCGACGAUCCGUAACUGGUCUGAGAGGAUGAUCAGUCACACUGGAACUGAGACACGGUCCAGACUCCUACGGGAGGCAGCAGUGGGGAAUAUUGGACAAUGGGCGAAAGCCUGAUCCAGCCAUGCCGCGUGUGUGAAGAAGGUCUUCGGAUUGUAAAGCACUUUAAGUUGGGAGGAAGGGCAGUAAGUUAAUACCUUGCUGUUUUGACGUUACCAACAGAAUAAGCACCGGCUAACUUCGUGCCAGCAGCCGCGGUAAUACGAAGGGUGCAAGCGUUAAUCGGAAUUACUGGGCGUAAAGCGCGCGUAGGUGGUUCAGCAAGUUGGAUGUGAAAUCCCCGGGCUCAACCUGGGAACUGCAUCCAAAACUACUGANCUAGANUACGGUANAGGGUGGUGGAAUUUCCUGUGUAGCGGUGAAAUGCGUANAUNUANGAAGGAACACCAGUGGCGAANGCGACCACCUGGACUGAUACUGACACUGAGGUGCGAAAGCGUGNGGAGCAAACNNGAUUANAUACCCUGGUANUCCACGCCGUAAACGAUGUCNNCUANCCGUUGGGAUCCUUGAGAUCUUAGUGGCGCANUAACGCGAUAANUCNACCGCCUGGGGAGUACGGCCNCNNNGUUAANACUCNAAUGNAUUUGACGGGNNCCCNCACAAACGGUGGAGCAUGGUGNUUUNAUUCNAANCAACNCCNANANCUUACCUGGGNCNUGACAUGCU
RNAcentral lists this ribosomal RNA (849 nucleotides) under Pseudomonas sp. Its description in RNAcentral is "partial 16S ribosomal RNA". It matches the Rfam family "Bacterial small subunit ribosomal RNA", at positions 147 to 990 of the family's 1533-position model. The record is from RNAcentral. Lineage: Bacteria; Pseudomonadati; Pseudomonadota; Gammaproteobacteria; Pseudomonadales; Pseudomonadaceae.